GCGUCGGUAGUCUAGUCUGGUAGGACUCUGGCCUUCCAUCGCGGAAUUCUGGAGAAAGCCAGCGACGUGGGUUCAAAUCCCGCCCGACGCA
Molecule: transfer RNA, 91 nt
Filed under: Candidatus Woesearchaeota archaeon
Lineage: Archaea; Nanobdellati; Candidatus Woesearchaeota
Description: tRNA-Gly
Rfam family: tRNA
About the family: Transfer RNA (tRNA) molecules are approximately 80 nucleotides in length. Their secondary structure includes four short double-helical elements and three loops (D, anti-codon, and T loops).
Source: RNAcentral